AGACGAACGCUGGCGGCAGGCUUAACACAUGCAAGUCGAACGCCCCGCAAGGGGAAGUGGCAGACGGGUGAGUAACGCGUGGGAAUCUACCCAAUUACUUCGGAACAACACAUGGAAACGUGUGCUAAUACCGAAUGAGCCCUUCGGGGGAAAGAUUUAUCGGAAUUGGAUGAGCCCGCGUUGGAUUAGCUAGUUGGUGGGGUAAAGGCCUACCAAGGCGACGAUCCAUAGCUGGUCUGAGAGGAUGAUCAGCCACACUGGGACUGAGACACGGCCCAGACUCCUACGGGAGGCAGCAGUGGGGAAUAUUGGACAAUGGGCGCAAGCCUGAUCCAGCCAUGCCGCGUGAGUGAUGAAGGUCUUAGGAUUGUAAAGCUCUUUCACCGGUGAAGAUAAUGACGGUAACCGGAGAAGAAGCCCCGGCUAACUUCGUGCCAGCAGCCGCGGUAAUACGAAGGGGGCUAGCGUUGUUCGGAUUUACUGGGCGUAAAGCGCACGUAGGCGGACUUUUAAGUCAGGGGUGAAAUCCCGGGGCUCAACCCCGGAACUGCCUUUGAUACUGGAAGUCUUGAGUUCGAGAGAGGUGAGUGGAAUUGCGAGUGUAGAGGUGAAAUUCGUAGAUAUUCGCAGGAACACCAGUGGCGAAGGCGGCUCACUGGCUCGAUACUGACGCUGAGGUGCGAAAGCGUGAGGAGCAAACAGGAUUAGAUACCCUGGUAGUCCACGCCGUAAACUAUGAGAGCUAGCCGUCGGGCAGUAUACUGUUCGGUGGCGCAGCAAACGCAUUAAGCUCUCCGCCUGGGGAGUACGGUCGCAAGAUUAAAUAGGAAUUU
RNAcentral lists this ribosomal RNA (833 nucleotides) under Phyllobacterium ifriqiyense. Its description in RNAcentral is "bacterial SSU rRNA". It matches the Rfam family "Bacterial small subunit ribosomal RNA", at positions 26 to 912 of the family's 1533-position model. The record is from RNAcentral. Lineage: Bacteria; Pseudomonadati; Pseudomonadota; Alphaproteobacteria; Hyphomicrobiales; Phyllobacteriaceae.